Long non-coding RNA from Tripterygium wilfordii, 647 nucleotides. RefSeq lists it as uncharacterized. The transcript is spliced from 3 exons. Lineage: Eukaryota; Viridiplantae; Streptophyta; Magnoliopsida; Celastrales; Celastraceae. The record is from RefSeq and is a predicted model, not a curated record.
GAAACCCAUGUAAUAGGCCUAGUGAAUAGAAUACAGACUACGAUCGAAGAACGAAGAACCAAGAUGGUAGGUAGAGAGGAGGAGGACUGGAGGAGUAGGAGCUAGCUUUAAUUGAAAGCAUAAGACGAGAAAAUGUUUUAUUUCCAUGGCUUCUUCUUUUACGCCUGUGAUCGAAUUUUGCAAGAAAAUCUUGUUGUGUAGUGGGGGUGUGGAUGAUGAUCGAGGUAGUCGUAGUCCAGAUGGGAUUCUUGGAGUCUAUCAGUUCUCUUAGGCUCUGCUUGGUGCUCGGUGUCUUCGGUGACUCCAACGCAAGCGAUCAUAAGAAGGUAAUUGACUUCAGGAAUGUAUACUUGUCCUUCAUACUUUGUCGAUGUGUGUACAAUCUUGACGCGAGGGAAACACCCAAGUGAGAGGGAUUGUUGGAUUAUAGAGAAAGUCCCUGAAAUCAUUGCCUGACUUGCUAUGAUCGAUGCCAUAACAGCAACUACAAACAUCGGCCAGUACAGGUAUUGAAGAGUAGAAUGUAUCUGAGACAAGGUGAUUGUGCUUGCGAAGGAAGGAAGCUUGUCCAGUAUAAGCAAAUAUAAGAGCUGGAUAGGUCAUGAAGCACAUGCUUAUUUGGAUAGACCGAACAGUGAAGUGACCGA